Talpa occidentalis (Iberian mole) is the source of this 133-nucleotide small nucleolar RNA. RefSeq annotates it as small nucleolar RNA SNORA71. The transcript has a single exon. The record is from RefSeq and is a predicted model, not a curated record. NCBI's taxonomy places the organism in Eukaryota, Metazoa, Chordata, Mammalia, Eulipotyphla, Talpidae.
CCCUGCAUUCGUAAGUGAUCAUGGGCUGCCCGUGUCUUGCUCACUGGUGGUGCAGGCAGAGGAAAUGUGGAAAGGAUUGUCCCAUGUUUGGAGGGUUCGCAUCCUACCUUCCAGUUCUGGGAGCUUUCCCACA